This 211-nucleotide ribosomal RNA is filed under the name uncultured bacterium. RNAcentral describes it as "partial 16S ribosomal RNA". The stretch from base 1 to 187 matches the Rfam family "Bacterial small subunit ribosomal RNA", at positions 568 to 754 of the family's 1533-position model. The record is from RNAcentral.
UGCGUAGGUGGCGCCGUAAGUCAGGUGUGAAAUUUCGGAGCUUAACUCCGAAACUGCAUUUGAUACUGCGGUGCUUGAGGACUGGAGAGGAGACUGGAAUUCACGGUGUAGCAGUGAAAUGCGUAGAUAUCGUGAGGAAGACCAGUGGCGAAGGCGGGUCUCUGGACAGUUCCUGACACUGAGGCACCGAAGGGCCAGGGGAAGGCAAACG